This 492-nucleotide ribosomal RNA is filed under the name uncultured bacterium. RNAcentral's name for it is "partial 16S ribosomal RNA". It matches the Rfam family "Bacterial small subunit ribosomal RNA", at positions 29 to 507 of the family's 1533-position model. The record is from RNAcentral.
AGUGAACGCUGGCGGUAGGCCUAACACAUGCAAGUCGAACGGCAGCACAGUAAGAGCUUGCUCUUACGGGUGGCGAGUGGCGGACGGGUGAGGAAUACAUCGGAAUCUACUUUUUCGUGGGGGAUAACGUAGGGAAACUUACGCUAAUACCGCAUACGACCUACGGGUGAAAGCAGGGGAUCUUCGGACCUUGCGCGAUUGAAUGAGCCGAUGUCGGAUUAGCUAGUUGGCGGGGUAAAGGCCCACCAAGGCGACGAUCCGUAGCUGGUCUGAGAGGAUGGUCAGCCACACUGGAACGUGAGCACGGUCCAGACUCCUACGGGAGGGCGCAGUGGGGAAUAUUGGACAAUGGGCGCAAGCCUUAUCCAGCCAUACCGCGUGGGUGAAGAAGGCCUUCGGGUUGUAAAGCCCUUUUGUUGGGAAAGAAAAGCAGCAGGUUAAUACCCCGCUGUUCUGACGGUACCCAAAGAAUAAGCACCGGCUAACUUCGUG